This 69-nucleotide transfer RNA is filed under the name Marmota marmota marmota (Alpine marmot). It matches the Rfam family "tRNA". From Rfam's summary of the family: Transfer RNA (tRNA) molecules are approximately 80 nucleotides in length. Their secondary structure includes four short double-helical elements and three loops (D, anti-codon, and T loops). Further hydrogen bonds mediate the characteristic L-shaped molecular structure. tRNAs have two regions of fundamental functional importance: the anti-codon, which is responsible for specific mRNA codon recognition, and the 3' end, to which the tRNAs corresponding amino acid is attached (by aminoacyl-tRNA synthetases). tRNAs cope with the degeneracy of the genetic code in two manners: having more than one tRNA (with a specific anti-codon) for a particular amino acid; and 'wobble' base-pairing, i.e. permitting non-standard base-pairing at the 3rd anti-codon position. RNAcentral also lists the same sequence under 4 other names. Lineage: Eukaryota; Metazoa; Chordata; Mammalia; Rodentia; Sciuridae. The record is from Rfam by way of RNAcentral.
GGGGCUGAGGCUCAAUGGUAGAGCACUUGCCUGGCAUGUGUGAGGCACUGGGUUCAAUUCUCAGCACCA